UACGUAGGUGGCAAGCGUUGUCCGGAAUUAUUGGGCGUAAAGCGCGCGCAGGUGGUUCCUUAAGUCUGAUGUGAAAGCCCACGGCUCAACCGUGGAAGGUCAUUGGAAACUGGCUUACUAGAGUGCGGUAGAGGGGUGUGGAAUUCCCGGUGUAGCAGUGAAAUGCGUAGAUAUCGGGAGGAACAUCUGUGGCGAAGGCGACACCCUGGACCAGCACUGACACUGAGGCACGAAAGCGUGGGGAGCAAACAGG
RNAcentral lists this ribosomal RNA (253 nucleotides) under uncultured bacterium. RNAcentral's name for it is "partial 16S ribosomal RNA". It matches the Rfam family "Bacterial small subunit ribosomal RNA", at positions 524 to 776 of the family's 1533-position model. The record is from RNAcentral.